Molecule: ribosomal RNA, 253 nt
Filed under: uncultured bacterium
Lineage: Bacteria
Description: partial 16S ribosomal RNA
Rfam family: Bacterial small subunit ribosomal RNA
Source: RNAcentral
UACAGAGACUGCAAGCGUUAUUCGGAUUCACUGGGCGUAAAGCGUGCGCAGGCGGUUUUGUAAGCCAGAUGUGAAAUCCCCGGGCUUAACCUGGGAAUGGCAUUUGGGACUGCAAGGCUUGAGUGCGGCAGAGGAGACUGGAAUUCCUGGUGUAGCAGUGAAAUGCGUAGAUAUCAGGAGGACCACCGAUGGCGAAGGCAGGUCUCUGGGCUGACACUGACGCUCAUGCACGAAAGCGUGGGGAGCAAACAGG